CACAAGCUGUUUCUUUGACAGUCCAGAGCCAAUGUGACAGCGAAGGUAGGGGAGACGGAAAGAACCAGACUGUGCAUGCAUGUGUGUGGGUGCGUGCAUGUGUGUGCGUGCAUGUGUGUGUGUCUGUUAGGCUUAGGAGAGGUGUGGAGGUGGUUGAGGAAGCUCAGCUCCAUUAUCAGCUCCAUUUUACAUAUCCCUGCAGGGAACACCUGAUAAGACACAUUUACUCUUGUGGGGCAUUUUUAUUCAGACUGUGGUUUGUCUACAGCAAACAAAAUGUAAUGUUAUAUAAACAACCUUCUACCAGGUAGUUUUAUUACCCUUAAAGGUAGUUUCCUAAUAAAUAUAUUGUGCAUUAAAAGCUCUCUCUGCAGAGGUGAAAGUUUAAUUGGUUUGAAUUUCCGCUUGUGUAUGAGGUUGAACAAAUCAAAGAAAGAGUCCUUGAUAUCCCUCCAAGGAAAAUCAUGUAUCAGUAUUCAGUUAUAUGAGAACAUACUCCACAUUUGGAUUCUCAAUCGUGAAAGUCACGUUUUUGUUGUAAGCCCUCAAAAGAUUCUGUCCUUUUUUUGUCUGAAAAUUUCUCACCAAUUUGAUGUGGGUUGGGGUCCGUCGGCAAAGGAUGGUGAACAAUCAGAACUGAGUCACACUCUAAGCUAAAUCUGACACUCGGGGGAUAAUUUUGGUUCCUGUUGCCAGGCAACUGUCAUUCAAAUAUGAAUAAAACACACCUACACUAUCUUCAUGAAGCAGAUUAGUCGAUUUUUUGACAGUCUAACUCUUGAUUAAUUGAUUUCUCUUCUUUUUUUAAAUGCCAGAUUACAGAAAAAAAGCACAAUGAGAGAUGGCAGCUAUGGUUUAACACAGAUACUUAAGAGCAAUAAUGUGGAUCUUAUUUACAGCAAGUAGGUAGUACAUCGUAGGGGGACGGUUUUAAUGCUGCGUUCGAGUUACCUUGGAAGUCAGAUGUCGGAGCUGAAAAUGACGUCGCACCUCAGUUACCAGCGUUUCAGUUACCAAGUGGGAAAAAAGGAAAAUCAGAGGCGGAAACAAGAUGGCUACAUCUACGCAAGUUAUUUCAGCGCUUGCUUUGUCCGAAUAUAACAAGGACACAAGGGAAGCCCUAAAAUAACAUUCGUAGAUGUAGCCAUCUUGUUUCCACCUCCGAUUUUGUUUUUUUCCCACUUGGUAACUGAAACGCUGGUAACUUGGGUGUGACGUCAUUUUCAGCUCUGACAUCUGACUUCUGAGGUAAUUCGAACGCAGCAUAAAUAAACUCAAAUGGUUAGCUUUAGACAACUAGCUGGCUAGCUAGCAAGCAAAAAUUGGUAAGAGCCUACACUGUUAAAACAUUCGACUUCAAGUACGCUGUAGCCCGAAGUCUGCCAAUAAAUAAAUAUAUAUAUAUAUUAUAAUGAAAAGUUUAAACAGUGUUUGUAGAUCAGGAGUAAAUAUUGAUAAGAAAACAGUGAAAAAUACCCUCUAACAUAUGAGAGAUCUGUAUGUUCCUACUCCCUUGUUUAUUACAUUUUUUUAUAAGGAUCUCAGCGAGAGGACCCCAUAUCCCCCUUUUGAUUACCCUUCUGGAACAAAAAGAAGAGGGCAGUCUCCACACAGCUUUAUGACACUGUUAACAUCACACAUAAACCUUUACUAUCAGGUAGCAGCAUGUGGAUAUGUUGUGCUAAUUCCUUGUUUACAGAGAUGUAUCCUCUGUUGCCUCUGCAGCAGGGAGGACAUCAUUGUUAUUCGUUGUAUCUAAACUCUGAGAUUUUUUCCCCUAUAAGUUUCCAAUAUCCACAAUCCGGUCAGUGUGGGUAUAACUGAAGAAUAAUGUAGUUUUAUUACUGAAUAAUGUGUUGAUUUGUACACAACUCUACAUAGGGUAACUUUAAUUUGACUUAUAGUUUCAAAUACAUGCAGGAAGUGACAGUCAAGGUUAAGAUUAAGAUGUCAUGUCGUAAAUUUUCUGUGUGGAUAACAAUUACCCGUUCUUGACAAAUUACAUCUGGUAAGCAAGUCUAAAACAGGUUGCGUCAAUGUUUGUAAGAUUUAUGAGCACGUCUGCGUUCGCGUUUAAUUCGCUUGGAUCUGGCAGACACGGCGAAAUGCCCGUGAUGAAGGGGUAAAAAAAGGAGAUUUCCUCGACAGUUUUUUUUGUGAAGACGUAUGCACUUCUCCCAUCAUUCAAAGGAGGCUGUAAAAGUUAACAACCUCUGCACAUAAAAGAAAAGCAGUCGGCAUACUCUGACAUACAGCAGGGCGAGCUGAUCAAAGGCUUACACCGGGGUUUAGAUGAGGGACGAGCUGGAAGGGGUUUAGACUCCAGCAGUCCUUCACUUAAUGAUGUUUUCUGAUUGGAGAACCUGAAGGAAAGCUCGUAUUGUUACUCAAACAAUAAUUUUCUCGUAGUUGGAGACAGUGCAACAUAUACAGACCGUGUGCGAAGUGAGAAUGUUUUAUUUUCGAUGCAUAGAGAGCCAAUCCGAGUCUUUUUAACCUUUAAAACCCUCAUCCAUUCAAGACGUGUUUCCUUCUCUUAUUUUCUGAUCUAGAAAAACUGUAAAGAUAACUUCUGCCCAUAAAGACUGAUUCAGCUCUCCGCUUGUCUUGCACAAAGUCUUACACUGCUUAUGUUCUGUUUGUGUUAUCAGAGCUCAGCGGAGUGGGCUGAAUAAUUCAAUGCUCCCAGCAGCCCCUUUCUUUCUGUCUCACUCUCUGUUUGCACCGACCUAGUUUACAACAGGAGUUUACAGGUUGGGACGGGGGCCGAAGAUUGGCAGCCUUGUAGCUAUCAACCCUCACCAGGACACAGAUCUUUUGUGCAGAAGAUAAACCUUUGACAGCUUGUAAAUUAAAGUCAGAAUUUAUUAUUAAAUCGAAUUGAAUGUGUCAUAUCUACACCCAACCGUACCUGAAUAAUAUUUUUAGAUGAUUUGAAAGCUUUCCCAGCAACUCAAGGCUAGAGGUUGAACAGGUUUUAGGACUCAACUUUGAGCUCCAUCCAGAGGCGCACUGUUAGUUCAACCGCCUACCGGGCCCACAAGUCAAGAUGUUACGCUUGUUAAACAGACCACCAACAUCCAAAAAGCUCAGCUCUCAUUGACAGGCCUGAUGGUGCUCAUAGCUCUCCUUUGACCUGCCAAGGUUCGUGAGCCCAAAUGAGCUUAAAACGCAGCAUGAAACACAGACUGUCGACGCCCAUCUGUGAGAGGGAGUCUGCUCCCCACAAGCGCCAAAUCCAAGGGGUUGUUGAGAGGUGACAGCACAGAUCCGUCACAGGCAAUCAGUGAUUUGGAACAUAACGUUUUUCUAGAUGUACAUAUUUUAUCUUUCCCUCCAAGUGAAGGUUGACUUUUUCAGUGUUUUUCCCUUUUUUUCAACUGAACUAUUUCGGUGGAACAACAGAUGCCAAGCACUGAAGUAAGGAGUUAAUGAAAUUUCCCCUUGAGGGAGACGAAAAACAAACAAACAAAAAUUGAAUUGGGCAGUCGCGGGUUCAGAGAAGCCAAGGUUAAGGAAAUGCAACAAAGCAGUGCAGUGGUUUCAUAGAAAAUCAAUACUGUGCUCCUCAUUAAUGUCCUCAUACUGCUGUGUGGAAGACAGGUCUGAUUUUUCAACAUGUAGGAAAUGAAAGAGACACCGGGUCUGUGUCAGUGUGAGAGGUCUACAAAGGCUCUCGAAUGAUAGGAGGAUCUUGCAUCCUACAUGCAAAUAAAACAAUAGAGUUCAUCUACUUUAUUACACUGAUUUGUUGACAACCUAAUACCUCUUACAUCUCAUUUUCUUCACACAUUUCCAUCUUCUUUUGGCCUCUGACUGGCGUCCUGUUAGUAACAGCCACCGCUGUCUGACAUAAAUUUUACAGCUUUAGGUGAGUAUUCCAGUCACAUCGCAGACGUGACUUUCCUUGUGGAUUCUCCUGCCAAGUUCCCAUUAAUCCAAACUGGGCAAAAAUGAAAGAAGUCUACCUUCAAUUCCCAAAAGGACCUCUUCUUUUUCAUUAAAUACUCACAGGAGGUUUUUCUGGAAUACUGAUCAGAAGUCAGAAAUUAACGAUCAGGUGGCUUAGUGUGACUGAAAUCCUUUUCUGCUAGAUUAAAAACGCAUUUGGGUCUUAAAACAUUUUUAUAAAAAUAUCAAAAAGAUGAACUUUAAAAUAGGUAAGUAUCUCUGGUACAGCUUUACAAUGGUUUCAGCCCUUCCUCGGAAACAGUAAUGUCAAGGUGGCUAUGAACAGCCACGUAUCUUCCUCCUUUCCCCUGAUAUGUGGAGUUCCCCAGGGUUUCAGUCCCCUUUCAGUCAGCUGUCCAGUCAAUCCCUGGUGUUUGAUAUAAUUCCAUCAAGUGUGAUCUCCUCAUAAACGCCUUUUAAGUGGUUGUCCUUUAUUUGAACUUUGACAAAACUGAAAUACAUCAUCUUUGACCUAAAAGUGACCUUCGACCCUCACACCAAACUUUUUCAAUUCUGUUUCCUGCAGCAAAUAAUACCAAAAUCAGGAGCUAUAAGCUCCACUGAUUAGUUUAAAACACCGCCCACAUUGUCUGUUGAACAUUUUAUCAAGACAGCUGUCACAUACCUGUUAACUAGAUAUUUUUUUUUAAACACAACUACCAUAAGGAAAAGAUGUUGAAAUUCCUCCUGGACUUGGUUGUAAUAAUGGGUUGCUAUUGUUGAAGACCUUUUCUCAUAGCAAGAAAAAAGGGUAACACUUUGCAAUAACCAUCAUUUAUAAAUGGUAAUCAGAUAGUUUAUCAAUGUAAAACAAUUGUUACUUUACCAUUAACAAGCAAUGAAAUUAUGAUAAAUAAUUUUCAAUAAUUAUUAAUGGACUAUUUAUUAAAGGUUUAUACAGGGUUUAAAUAUUGGUUGUAAAACAUCUAGAUUAAAAUGUGUGUCAGUGGCACUUUGUAAAUGAUUAAUAUUAGUUUUUUAAACCAUCUAUAAACAUUACUUAGAUGGUUUUUGUAAAGUUAGGGUUAGGUUUUUAAAAUUGUAAAAUUUAUAAUUUAUUAAUGGUCUAUAUGAUAUUUAUUAAUGAUGAUUUAACAUUAAUAAACUAUCUGCUUACCAUUUAUAAAUGGUCUAUUUACCAUUUUUAAGUUAUGGUUUUUGUAAAAUGUUACUGAAAAAAGUCCUUCCAAUGCUGCAAUGUAAAGGGGGUAAAUGUUUCUUAGCUCACCUAACGCUACAACACAUUGAGAGAUAAAAGAUGCACCAAUAACAAAAUAUUUGUUGUACAGUGUUAUUUUCGUGUGAACUCAUGUGUUUGUUUGAGAUUCCCUGGUCUAAUGUUAUUCAUUUUCUGUUUAACUCAGGUUUGUAUCAUAAUGAAUAAGAUCCCUCCUGCUAAUAAACACAAUGAAGGUCAAAGGAGUCCUUGUACCUCCAAACAAAAGACUACAUCUAACCUCUGUAAGUGCUACCAACAAUAUGUUACAGUAAAUUAACCCCCCCUCCCCUGCAUUCAGGCUCCAGUUGCUGCUCGAUCCUCUCACACAUUGAACGGGUCUUUGCCGGUCAAGGCAGUCAGGCAGGAGAAUGAAGUAAACGAGCCCUGGCCACAAAAGGCCAUCCCUGCCUGACUCGUGAUCUGCGUUGCCAGUGCUGACAUCCGAGGUGUUAUUACCAUAUAAAUGAGAUAAGGUCUGUAGUAAUUGGGGGCUGAAAUUAAAGCCAAACAGUGAUAUGAGUUGGAGACAGUUUGUCUGCAUGUGGAAGGGAAAUUGUGAUGUUUCAACAGCCGAUUAAAUUGCAUGUGUUGAAUGAAUGUAUUUCUAAAUGAUCAAAACGUACAUGCUCUAUAAGGGAAAUUCACUCUAUGGAGGGAUUCUGGCAUUUUAUUUGCUUAAAUUUCAACAUGGUACUGGCACUCUAGAGCAAUAAAAAAUGCCUAUAAGCUCUUAUGAAAAGAUUAAAAUGGUUAAAGUGCUUUAUCAAGACUCCGGUGAAUCCGAUCUGAUUACACAGACCUUAAACAUCAGUAGCAUAACAAAGUAGUGCUCAUAUUGGCACCGAGCAAAUUAGAUCCAGAUAAGCGCUGCUAAUUACAUCUGUGGUGAGGUGUCAUUUGCUGAUUUUUAUGAGUGUUGUGCCAUAUUAUAUUACGGUCUUUGGUGCCCAGAGAAGGGCAGUGGCAUUUAUUAGUUGAUGGAAGAGCCCACCUGGGAUAAGAACAGCCGUGACAUUUCAGUCGUAGAGCAGGGCAAUUACCCUCUGUGUCAGCAGCAAUAGAGCAAGGUGGCCUCCCAUUGUAGUUCAACUCAUCUAGGCUUUGAUUUGUACAUAGAUUUUCUCCAGCAGGACAUUUAGAAAUGAAAAAAAUAGAUAAAUAAAUAAAAGCACCUCUCUUUAUGCUGUCUUCUUGAAACCAGGAGGUACAACCUGAAUAUCGAACAGAGGGUUGCUCAGGAAAUGUUAGAUGUUUAUUUGUGAUGUCAAGAUAAAAAAAAGGAACAAAGUUCAUAUGAGUUAACUGAAGAGCUGCAGCUGGAUACUAUUGGGAUGGAUUGGAGGUAACUGGGGUGAAGGAGGGUGAUAAUAGUUGAACUGAAACAGCUGAACAGUGGAGGACAGGUUUAAGUUAUUUGGUCACUAGGAGAAGCUAAAUCUGAUUGGUUUAGGACUUAAAAGAGUUAGCACCAUAUCCUGCAUUCUUCAUGAAAUACAGCACACAUCUUAAGACAAACUCACAUUCAAUUCUGAGGUUAUUCAAGGACAACUACAGCCAAUAAGCACAGAGGAAAUCAUUUGGUUUCAUUUUUAUGAAUACAUAAUUUUCUUACUUCUUAAUAAUGAAAAAGAUUCUGCCUUGAUAUGCAAAAUCAUUAAUCCAUCUGGAAAAAAAAUGCUAAUUUCAUUACGAUGUAAGCUCACUUGACAGUAUUUUACAGCAUUCAUCUUGGGGCAUGUUAAGAUAAGAGGAGAAUAGCAAAUUUGAUAUUCUCCUCACAAGAGGAAAUUGGACCAUCUAUCCUCUCGCACUACGAAUGGUUGGAAAAACCCUUUUUGCAAUAACUCUAAGGAUUGCUGAUUGUUUAUUCUCCUCUGGAUUUGCCUUUAAAAGUUCUCCCCUGGUUGUGAUACAAAGAACAUGCUACAUUAAUGCAAAGAAUCAGAUAGAAACAAAUGACCCCUGCUUUGUAUCAAUCUUUUACUGCAAUGAAGUCACAAAUAAAAAACUCCACUUAUCACGGCACUCUGUUGUAAUUACUCCCGCAUCUUAAUGCCACUCUGCUCUUCCCAGAUUGCAAUUGCCUGAAGGUCAUUGCAGCCUUUUCGUAUUGCAUGCUGUCUACGACUUUUCGUGGUUGACCUUUAACUGUCUGUCACUUCACAGGAUAACACCAAUCACUGAGCAGGAAUUUGAUUCCAUGCGAGGUUACAUCAUGAGGUCCUGGACAUGCUUUGUAUGGUGUAUUAUUCAAACAGUUUUUGCUCACUGUUAGGUCUGUUCUUAUUCUGAUGACUGGGUUUUCACUGCAGGGAUUUCUUCCUAACAGAGUCCUCACAUGAGUCUUUUACAUGAGUCUUUCACAGCUUUCUUGAAGUUUUCAAAACUAAAAUUACCAAAAGACUCAUAUUUGUUGUGUUAACAAGCUAAAAUUGGAUUCACAUCAAAUCAGCUAUGGACAUCGGCUUAUUCUCUGACUGCACAAUGAUUUGCUUCAACCAACUAAAGUGUCAAUAGCCAUAGUUACAUGUGCAAAAUUUCUUGAUUUGAGGGAAUCAGGAAAUCUAAAUCCACUGUUUAUAUUGGCGCAAAAUCAAAUAAUCCAAUCAUGACGUGCGCAUACAUGCACCAAGCUUUAUUCAGAUUGGAGGCAUUUGGACAAGCGCAGAGUUGUUUAAUUUCGCUAAAACAACCGCAGAAGAAGAGUUGUCAACAAACCAACAAACGCAGUAGUGGCUCACUUCAUCCGAUCCAGUAUUUUCCCUCCACUUAGAAUGGACCUGAGUCAGGUUCUGAGCGGUUGUAUUGGUUCUCGUAUACAUGAUUCAAGUGGGCCCAGCAGCACAUCCUGAUCCAGCGUUACAUGAGGAGACAGUAUCCAGCGAGAAAGUUGUGUCAGACACAGACUAAUUGCUCUUGGAUCCCGCCAUGUUUACAUCUUGUCACUAACAAUGGAAAUGUAUCACGUUGACGUAGGGCACACAUGCGCAGUCAGGGAGUCACAAUCGGAAUAGGUGUUUACAUGGACACGAAUCGGAAUAAUGAUUCGCAUAAACCACCCCUCUGGAUCAGAAGACAAUAUCUUUCUGAUUUAGCUGAAUUGGAUCAGAAUCUUCUGAUCGGCAUGUUUACAUUUUUAUUCCGAUUAUUUGUGCCCAUGUAAAUGCAGCUAGAGUCUCUUUGAAAGUGGAGUUUCACAUCAACCCAGUGUUGGAAAUGGAUGUCGACCACAUUGUCCUCUCAAACAAAAUCGUACAACUGUUAAACAGACUGUUCAACAACUUUCUGAUGCUCAAAACUGUCGAGUGACGACCUGCACUUAACAACAACAACAACAACAACAACAACAAACCCCGGUGUUCAACCAUUCGAUUCAUCCGCUGAACAAUCUCAGAGCACAGUCCCCAUUGAUGUUUGUACACUGACGCGUUAGGGUUAUAGAUGACUCACGGCACACUCUGGGCGUCAUGAAUAUUCAGAGCCGUGGCCAAAUGUCACCAAGCAAUCCCGUAACAAUAAUGGAGUUUGAAGUCUGCUGAUAAGUGGGCAUGAACUUAGGCGAGCUAAUGAAUGCCUCUGCCUCGCCUUGAUCAGUUCAGAUGGUGACUGUUUUGAGAGAGACCUCUCUUUGUGGCUGCAAUCUUCACAACACAAUCUUUUCCUUUAUGCUGUGCAACAAAAUAGAGUUCAGCAAGUGUCAAUGUGUGAACCAGGGGUCUAAAAGUUUUACUUUUUGUAACAAAAGUAAACAGAAAAAUAUGGACAUACUGCCUUUACUAACUGUGAAUGACAUUUAACAGCUUUGGUACCAGUCCAAUAAUAAACUACCACUACACUGAAGAACAAAUGCUACAGAGAAAAAACAAGUCAAGAGGAAGAUGAUGUUUAUUGUUAAUAUAUUGGAGUUUAUACUUGACAAUCUGUCACGGGGAAAGCUGGUGUCAGCGUAAUUACUAGGAAUAGUGUCUGUCAAGAUUUAGAGCAGGGCCUAUAGUGAGGCAGAGUCAUUAAUAUAAAAGAUGAUGAAAGAUUGUUGAUGGGAUUUUCACCUUUUUAGAGAGGCAAAAUGACAACAAUAUAUGUAGCUGUCCAUACAAGAGAAACACAGUGAACUGUAUUUUUUCUGACAUCAGAUCAGCUCUGUUUUAUAGAGCCUAAGACAUGCUAAUUCAGGCGCAUGAAUACACACUGUCUCAAAGAUUUACACACAAAUGCAUGCACAUAUAUUUAUUUACAUAUUCUAGCACUCUCAUAUAGAAAUCCACUUUUCUCUCCAUUUUCUACAACUGUGCAGCCAUAGAGCACGCAAGAUUGUUCUGUUUUUGUGUCUUUGAAGGCAACUUUUGAAUGAUAGACAAAAUCUCCCUGAAUAAAUUGGGACCGAGAUAGAAAUGUUGACAGAAUCAGGAUUUCUUUAUUAGCACUUGGACUCUUCCACUACAAAGCCAUGCUGUCGGUACCCAUGCACAAUGAGGUUUGUGUUUGUCUGAAUGGCUGCAUAUGAUGCUCUAAAACCUGUAUACAUUGUUCAGCGUUAUUAUUGUCUUUUUAGAUGUGUAAGCUACCCAUGUAAUGAGCAAUUACACAUCCCUGCACCAUCAUAGAUGUUUGCUCUUGAACUGUAAUCGGUGAGACCACAGGACAAUUUUCUACUUUGUCUCAGUUCAUUAGGAAUGGGCUUGCAUUGUAUUCAGUGUUAUGCCAAAUCUGGGUCAUCUGGAUUCAAAACUGGGUACUGACUGUUACUGUUACCCACAUAUUUAAUUAUUGAAUUUGAGACACCCAACCAAAAUGGACUCAUAAGACGUGGGAUUGUUCAUUGCAAGUUCUCUGAGGUUUGUUUCUGAGGUCGGAAAAGAACAUUAAAUAUUAACCCACCACAGCCCCGCUGCAGGCUGAAGCUCUGUCCAUGCAAUAACAAGCAGGGCAGUUUACUUAUCCUAGUUUUGCAGUGCAGAGCUCAAUUUUUCUGUUAUUAAUUUUUGCUCUUAGGGGUAUGAAAAAAGUAGGACACUGUAAUUAAAAAGCUGCAGUACACCAUUCAUGAGAAUGAACUCUCCAGAGAGGGAGGAUGUGUCAGCUGACCCACUGAGUGUCAGCUACAAUGCACUUUCCUCUGUUUCAGUGUCAUGAGUCUGUAAUCGAAAAAACAAAUAGACCUUUGCUUGUUCACUAGACUUAAGUUAUACUCUGAUAUUCUGAACAUUUUCGUUGAUCUACUUCAUGACCACCCAGAAGAUUUCAUGCUAAGGUGUUACAGCUGAAUCCCCACGCAACCAGAGUUGAAAUUGUCUACUCUCUUACUUCACUCUCUUGCUUACCAGCAUUUGUUGAGACACUCAAGAUUUUCCUUCAACCUUUUGCAGGUGGCCUGAUCCACUGCAAAAAAAAAACAACACAAAAACUAUCAAACCAAACUGUAAUAUUUAUGACACAGUAAGUUACAAAAUGAUCCGCGAUAAAUUACAAAAAAUUAUGAUGCAAUAAGUUACAAUAUGAUUCAUUACAAAAAGGUAACAAUGUGAUAAGUUACAAUAUGAUAGGAUAAAUUACAAAAAUGUACAAUGCGAUAAAAGUCGAUAAGAUAUGAUAAGAUAAAGUACAAAUACUAAAGAUGUGAUAAGUGAUGAUAUGAUAACUUACAAACAGUUGAGAUGCAAUGCAUAAGAUAAAUCACAAAAAGUUAUGAUACCAUGCAAUACUGAAUAACAGGAUAGGGAAGAGUGGGGUAAGUUGAGCCAAAGGGUAAGUUGAGCCACCCCCUUGCUGCUUGGAAAUGGUCAAAGAAAUUGAUCGUGUGACCAAAUAUUUAGGAGAAAGGCAUCAAUUCAUGAAGUCUGUGAAGGGUAGAAGCACAUGGGUGAAGGGGUUAGACAUUUAUUUCCAGAAAACAUUUUUUACUCUUGAAAGUGAAUUUAGUCUGUGUUCACUAGUCUGUGUUCUGGAUGUCACUGAUUGCCAUUGUGGACUCAAAUUUUUGCUGCUUCAAAAUGUCAGGCAAAUAUCAUCCGGCACCAAGUUUGUUAAAAUAAAUGAUACAGCAGACGCCCAAACAUGUGAUGCACCUUUGAAGAAUAAACUAAAACUGAAAGUCGAAAGUAUAAAUAGCUGAAGGGGCUGCAGCAAAAAGAACUCCUUUUGGGAUAUAAAGUAAAGGGUCAGCUGUUGUAUUGAGCGUCAACACUUCUGGAUACCAAUGAAAAUAAGUUCUACUUCAAAGAGGUUUGCAGCUAAAUGGAUUCCCCUACAGGGGCAGGGAGGAGAUGCUAAAUUGCACUUUCCUUAUUUCGAGUGUAGCAUUAAUUAGACACAGUGAAUAAUGAGUUGAAUGUAUAAAACACUUCUAUGGUGCUGCUUUGAUACUGACCAAAGGGUACAAAUGAGAAAGAAGGCAGUUAGAGAAACACACUUUAUGAAGGGAAAGGUGGUAAUGCAUACAAAGUCAUAUUGGAGGUGUUCACGUGGAGAGCCAAAUGUUUACAUGAGUGAACUUCAAAUAUCUUUUCCCAUCUCCUAUACACAGACACUGAGAUGGGCCACUUUGUUUCAGUUCCUCAAUACUUAUUCAAUAAAGUCGGCUCUGUUCUAUAUCCAGGAAUGACUUGUGCCACUCAGUUAAAAUAAAUGCAAGAGGGUAUUUCAUCGCACCCUGCUUUGGAUUCAAGACAGUUUAGUUAAAGGACUAAAAGAGACAAAAGGUGCCUCCUUUUGGACAGAGCAGUCUUUGCCUUUCUUAUCCUCUACAUUUUGAACUCAUGCCCCCCCAAAAAAAGGGUCACUCUGACUUUUAAAACCGCUUUUAAAAUGGUCAUUUUAAUCAUUUAUUGUCAAGUGAAAAUAGAAAAUGCAAAAAUUGGGCUGUUUAGUUGGCUGACACCUACUUUCUCACAUGGUUUUUAAGCAGUUUAAAAUACCGUUAAAAGACACAUAUUUUGUUGCUAAUAGUGAUGUUUGCUUUUUCAUAUGAUAAAAGAGCAUUCAUGUGAAUUUCAGUCCUUUUCAUCGAGUUAAGAAAACUCCUUAUAGGAUUUCAACCAACCCACCAAACAUUGGAUGUCGAAGAGACGUGCAGAUCAAGUCAGUAUUGGGUCGGUCUGUCAAAGACCACAUCUAGACGUUAGUGUAACAUGCAAAAUAGAUCCAAGAUAUAGACGUCAUUAUUGGACCUUUUUUAGACGUUGAAAUGAUGUCCACAUUUAUACCUCAUUGUCGAAAAAUACGUUACAUAGAUGUCAUUUCGACGUCUCAUUGCGCAGUGGGAAAAAUCAAGCUGCAAAUUCAGAAAGAAAACGGCUUUAACUCUAAUUAAUGCUGCCCCAUCAUACUCACUUUAAGCCACCAUUAACACAACAAUGUAAUCUGACUUUGCUUGUUUGCUGUUGAUGCAAUCGUUCUUUCUUUUUCUCUCUUGCAAAUGUUUAUGUAUUUGUUUGUUUUCAUCAUACUCUUUCUAGCCAUCACAUUCAGUUGUAUCUUCCCGCAGAAACUGUCACAAAUAUCAUCACCAAAGCACACCUAUGCACAUAUGAUUCAUUUUUUAAUGUGAUGUUGAUGCACAUCACCCACAUUGAAAUGCAUGAGAGACAACGAGAAACUGCUACAAAAACAAAAACUACAAUAACACUGGGAAUUUGAGACAAAAAGAUAUUGAAAAAGGUCAGGCAGUUAAAGGACUAGAAAGAAAAGAAAUUAAAUUUAGCCAUAUUUGGCUCUUGAAAAUAGAGGGUAGAGAGAAUGUCAUAUCCAAAGACUAACAGCUCCUCUUUAAACCUCAUAUUUAUGGUUCUUUAAAAGCCCUGCCGCCGUUGUCGUGGUGUAAAGAAAUACAGCUUUGCCCUACGAAAUCCUUGAGCCUUCUUAACUUAAUGUGUUUGUGUUUUUUUAUGUGUGUCAGUGCCAACCUGGAUUAGUAUCAUGUCACUAAGUGCCCUUGACUCCAGACAGGCGGAGUUACGCCCGUUGGAAAGGUCCAGGUCGUUUUCAUAGUCUACAUCCCCAAAACACAACUCUGAACAAAGAGAUGAAUGAUGAUUAAAGAUAAAAAAUGAGAGAAAACGUUUGUUUUAUUUUUCUUCAAAUGCAGAUAGUCUACUUUUACAGUACAAUGUUACAUAGGGUAUAAUAUGCUGAGGAACACGGCUCUAAUAUUGGUAAAACUAUAUAAAAUACUGAUGUGGAGUCUUGUGUGGUGACAGCUUUACUUUAUUUCCAGUGCUGACUAUAAUUCUCCAUAACAUUACAUUAGCUGCACCGUGAGAGUCUCAUGUAGGCGUCUGAAUCAAACAGGGAUUAUACGUGCAGGUUCAUUAAACUAUUCAACCAUAUUUUUAUGUCAUUAAGUUUCACGACUUCACUUGAGAGUGAAAGGUACCCUCCAAAUAAUUCUCACAGCAGUGGGCCAGGCUGUUCCGUGUUUUCCUCCCCAGGUGGUUUAUUGGUAAUUUUCUCACUUUGGGAAAAGAAAUGCUCCCAUGAAAUGAUUGGACUUGGCAGAAAAUGCUUGUAUUAAAAUUCUUUGAAUCAUGUUUGACCAUAAAGCAUAGCAUUUAGUGCAGGACUGUAAGUUUUACAGCACUGAUGAGGAACCAAGCACUGAGGGUGCGAGGACCUUCCUUAGAACUCUUAAGAUAUUUUAUGUAAGUGUUGUGUCGUUCACCUAAAAGAUUCGUUCAAAAGAACAGAAUCUUUUAGGUGAACGUACUGAACCGAAUCACUUCUGCGAUUGAUUCGUUCCUCACUUCAAUUGAGCCAAAGUGAGAAACAGCAUUGCCAGGCCAGCAGCCGGUGAAUGAGGGACCACAUGCACCAACGCCUGAAUCACUUGGUGAACGAAUCACACAUUGAACUACACUCUCUGGAAUCAUUUUUGUCCCAGUCCCAGAGGCUAUGAAUUGAACUGAAUCCUGAACUGUUCAGCUGUGUAUCAGUUCAGGAGGUCGGAGUCACAGGCUUCUAAGUGCUGAUUCUUUUUAGUGAACUGAUUCUGGUGAUUCAGUACAUCUAAAAGAACUGCCAUGCCCAUCACUAUUUUAUAAUCCUGCAAAUUAAUUGUUUUGGGGGAUUUUAACAUCCCCCAAACUUGGCACACUUUGAACACACAUCAGUUGUGCAUGAGAUUUCAUAUUUUUCAAGUCUUGUGAAAAAUCUUAAACCAGCUGUUAAGGCAUCAACACUUUUUAAUAUUGCAGUUUAAGAAGUGUAUUUGAACAGUUUCAUUCUACUUGUCAACUAAUUAACUUGUAGACAGUUUACAAAACAGUUUUAAAUUCCACCACAGUGAGUCUAUUGUAUAUUUUAGCUGCUGCUAAAUGACUCGUGUCCGCACUUCACUCAAGCCUCAGUCCUAAAUGAGCUCUGCUUAGAUGGAGAUGAAACACACGAGAAGUGCUGUGGCGUCCAAACGCAGAAAACCUUGCUUGUUGGGCACAGAAAGACGUCCUGUACUUGGGUCAGCAGUCCUUCUACCCCCUAAAAAGUGCAACCAGAGCCUCUCUAGAAAGAUUAAUGACCAUUGAUCCCCGGCACAACCCACCAGAGCAGCAGACCACUGUAUCCCUACAGUAAAACCCUCAUUACACACUUUCUGAGUCUUUAGGUUUCCCCUCUGCCUAGACCCAACCAAGCCCAAGGACAGAUGCUGGUGUUUGUUUUGUUCACUGAAGUGACGUAGAUGAUGUUUGCUUGUCGCUGCAUUUGUGCUAAAAGUAAAAGUCAUGGCGUUCAAAUUUUUGAUUACAACAUGUGUCUAAAGCGGUGGAAAAUCAAGGCGAAAAAGAGCGCAUCGCUGAUGGCCACUAUGUACCAGAAAACUGCAGUCUGGGAUACAUGUUUUAGGAGACAUGAGCGGAAUAAAAAAGAGCCCGCUCUGCUGCUGAUGAAAAAGAGGUCUGUAUAAUCAUUCCUGUGUUUGGAGAGCAUGUUCCCCAUUUCUGCUUCUCUGUGCAUGACCUCUCUAAUCAGAUGAGCAUUUCAAAAGCUCAGGGAGCAGAGGGUCACUUCCAGUGUAGGAGCUGAAACUGCAAAUUACCAUCGUGUAGAAAUAUUCCUUCUCUCAAUCAGAUCCCACUCGAUUCUGAUCAGUGGAUAACUGGCUGACUUCUGCCCCACACACAGGCUUUGAUGUUGGGAGAUGGUUUGAAGUAAGAGUAAUUAAAAUAUAACAAGUUCACUAAAACAUACAACAAGUACGGAGCAUAAACAACCAAAAGCCACGAUAGCUGUUGAGAGAAAACCUUUAGUCCUCUCUGUUUGUGUCUUUCCAUUAACUAUCUUCUACGCUGUUUGAAAGUCUUAUAACAAGGCAGCUGCAAAGAAAUACACCCCAAAACAAUCCCAGUGAUAAACAGAAGAAGAGAUGAGCAUGCAAAUGAAUACGUAAACUUUACAUUGUUAUAAUGAGAUAAAAACAGAUUGCGAACUGCCCAUAAAUUUGAUUUCUAUUUAUUCCUUAAGCCCUGAGACAAUUUGUUCCUUCCUCAACAAACCACACACAACUUUCUGUCCUAGCAAUUACAAUAAACUCAUGAAGACAGUCGUCCUCUUAAAUGUAAUCAGAUGUAUCGGUGGCGUAUUUUCUGGAGUGUCCAGUGUGCAUGCAAUUACUUUGCUGCCUUUUUAGUUUCAUCAAAUGAGGAAAAAGUUGAGCUAUAGAUGGCUGUAGCACUUAUUUUAUAGCCUGCAGACUUUACCGCUUCAAAACAACAUCUCAGUCCUCAUCAUUAGUGGAGCCAAUUACCAAACAACAUCAAAUACAUCUCUCCAUGUUUGCUUAAUUUUACUCAUUUUUUCCUGCUUCAAGUCAACAUGCGAGAAGAAAUUACCCUGGAUGUGUCCUUAAAACUUGACAGCGUUGAAUACUUUAACAGGUUAAUUUGCUCUUGCACGGUUACAUUUCUCAUUAAGAGGAACAAACUAGUUCUCGCUGUGGAAAAAUCACAGAGUUAAAUUUACUGCCAGUCUGUUAACAUGACUUAUUGUUGGUGUACAUGUGUUUAUAGUCAGGUAAAACAAAAGCUGUAUAUCUACUGAUGUUAGUGACUUAAUGAUGUUGUUCUCUAUGCAUUGAGAUGAGUGGGUAAUACUCCACUACACAUGACAAAUUGACCCACAAUGCUGACAUCAGUGAUCUACAGCUGGUAAUGGUGUGUGAAUAAGUUGCACAUAAAACCGGCGUGAGGAAACAGGCUGUCACAGCAGCCCACUCGUUAGGACACCAAACAAGGAAAUGCUCUGAUGGACACUAAUCAUUCAAGAUCAAAUGCAUUUCAAUUAAGUUGUAACAUCUGCUCGCACAGCCAUUCUGGUGCUCCGCCAGAUGCUCCGCAACCUCAAAGUGGUGAUGAUGCGAGAUGAAUGUGUGAGAAUCUGCUGCCAAAGAGGAGAAAAGAAAGGGAAAGAUUUGACUCCAUAAAUUCUGAAGAUGUUUCUGCACCCACAGGCUUGAACGUAAAUGACUAGAGAAAGGAGAUCUUUGAAUAUAACUUUGAAAGUUCAACAAACUAAACAAGGAAUAGGCGUGAAAUUACAUCUUUAUAUAUGUUUGAAUGUUGAACUUACACCGAUGGUUGCAGUGUCGUGGAGAUACUAUGUUGAACUGUUGCCUGGUUCGCUUUUUAGGUUGGACCCACCAACUAAUAUGGUGCAAGAGUUCUUUUUAAAGUCUAUUCAUCAAUUUCCUUUUGCUUAUCUGGGUUAGCGGUAUGUCUCUCUCGCUCUUUCCCUUGGAAAGGUUUUACAAAUUCUUCAUGGGGGGAUUCCCAAAACAUUCCCAACAAGCUUUAGGUCUACCUUGGGUGGGAAUUCCUGGAAAACCUCUAAAUUAAGGCAUCUUAAUAGGACGCCUAUACCUUGUUUAGUAUUCCAGACAAACUAAACAAGGAAUAGGCAUGAAACUACAUCUUUACUCAGUUUGAAUGUUGAACUUACACUGAUGGUUGCAGUGUCGCGGAGAUACUGUGUUGAACUGUUGCCUGGUUUGCUUUUUAGCUUGGACCCACCAACUAAUAUGGAGCAAGAGUUCUUUUAAAAGUCUAUCCAUCCAUUUUCUUUUGCUUAUCUGGGUUAGCAAAACGUCUCUCUCUCUCUUUCUCUCUCUCCAUGGCAAGGUUUUCCAAAGUCUUCCUGGGGGGAUUCCCAAGGCAUUCCCAAUAAGCUUUGGGGUCUACCUUGGGCGGGAAUUCCUGGAAAACCUCUAAAAGGAGGCACCAAGGAGGCAUCUUAAUAGGACACCAAACAACCUUAGUUGGUUCCCCUUAAUGCCAAG
RNAcentral lists this long non-coding RNA (17432 nucleotides) under Xyrichtys novacula (pearly razorfish). The record is from RNAcentral. Lineage: Eukaryota; Metazoa; Chordata; Actinopteri; Labriformes; Labridae.